AGAGUUUGAUCCUGGCUCAGAUUGAACGCUGGCGGCAUGCCUUACACAUGCAAGUCGAACGGCAGCACGGAGCUUGCUCUGGUGGCGAGUGGCGAACGGGUGAGUAAUAUAUCGGAACGUACCCUAGAGUGGGGGAUAACGUAGCGAAAGUUACGCUAAUACCGCAUACGAUCUAAGGAUGAAAGUGGGGGAUCGCAAGACCUCAUGCUCGUGGAGCGGCCGAUAUCUGAUUAGCUAGUUGGUAGGGUAAAAGCCUACCAAGGCAUCGAUCAGUAGCUGGUCUGAGAGGACGACCAGCCACACUGGAACUGAGACACGGUCCAGACUCCUACGGGAGGCAGCAGUGGGGAAUUUUGGACAAUGGGCGAAAGCCUGAUCCAGCAAUGCCGCGUGAGUGAAGAAGGCCUUCGGGUUGUAAAGCUCUUUUGUCAGGGAAGAAACGGUGAGAGCUAAUAUCUUUUGCUAAUGACGGUACCUGAAGAAUAAGCACCGGCUAACUACGUGCCAGCAGCCGCGGUAAUACGUAGGGUGCAAGCGUUAAUCGGAAUUACUGGGCGUAAAGCGUGCGCAGGCGGUUUUGUAAGUCUGAUGUGAAAUCCCCGGGCUCAACCUGGGAAUUGCAUUGGAGACUGCAAGGCUAGAAUCUGGCAGAGGGGGGUAGAAUUCCACGUGUAGCAGUGAAAUGCGUAGAUAUGUGGAGGAACACCGAUGGCGAAGGCAGCCCCCUGGGUCAAGAUUGACGCUCAUGCACGAAAGCGUGGGGAGCAAACAGGAUUAGAUACCCUGGUAGUCCACGCCCUAAACGAUGUCUACUAGUUGUCGGGUCUUAAUUGACUUGGUAACGCAGCUAACGCGUGAAGUAGACCGCCUGGGGAGUACGGUCGCAAGAUUAAAACUCAAAGGAAUUGACGGGGACCCGCACAAGCGGUGGAUGAUGUGGAUUAAUUCGAUGCAACGCGAAAAACCUUACCUACCCUUGACAUGGCUGGAAUCCUCGAGAGAUUGAGGAGUGCUCGAAAGAGAGCCAGUACACAGGUGCUGCAUGGCUGUCGUCAGCUCGUGUCGUGAGAUGUUGGGUUAAGUCCCGCAACGAGCGCAACCCUUGUCAUUAGUUGCUACGAAAGGGCACUCUAAUGAGACUGCCGGUGACAAACCGGAGGAAGGUGGGGAUGACGUCAAGUCCUCAUGGCCCUUAUGGGUAGGGCUUCACACGUCAUACAAUGGUACAUACAGAGCGCCGCCAACCCGCGAGGGGGAGCUAAUCGCAGAAAGUGUAUCGUAGUCCGGAUUGUAGUCUGCAACUCGACUGCAUGAAGUUGGAAUCGCUAGUAAUCGCGGAUCAGCAUGUCGCGGUGAAUACGUUCCCGGGUCUUGUACACACCGCCCGUCACACCAUGGGAGCGGGUUUUACCAGAAGUAGGUAGCUUAACCGCAAGGAGGGCGCUUACCACGGUAGGAUUCGUGACUGGGGUGAAGUCGUAACAAGGUAGCCGUAUCGGAAGGUGCGGCUGGAUCACCU
Molecule: ribosomal RNA, 1519 nt
Filed under: Janthinobacterium lividum
Lineage: Bacteria; Pseudomonadati; Pseudomonadota; Betaproteobacteria; Burkholderiales; Oxalobacteraceae
Description: bacterial SSU rRNA
Rfam family: Bacterial small subunit ribosomal RNA
Source: RNAcentral